GUGGGCGCGAGGGAGGAAGACGACGCCGGUCGCCGCUCCAAGACCACGCCGCCGCCGAAGCUCCCUCCACGCUCCAAGACCACGCCGUCGACGCUUCCCCCUCUCAGGAAACAAGUUGCUUGGACUGAUUUGGCAGGAAACAAGUUGCUUGGACUGAUUUGGCAGGAAACAAGUUGCUUGGACUGAUUUUCUUGUAAUAUUGAAGGGAACAAGCAUGUUUUUAAGAGGACUCUCCCGGGCUGAGUUGGUGCCUCAUUCAACAUCUUGUAGUUUCAGUACUUUGCUCAGAACCAUGUGCCUAUCCACUUCGAAUUUCUCUAUUUGUUUCAUGUCUCUCAAAAAUGGACUAUGAUAUCUGAGGCUAUGAGCUAACUGUACCAUGGUUGUAGCUGUGAUGAAGAGAUGCUAUUGUUGCUGUAAUGCAUAUUUAUGUACUGAUUGCAAGAUAUGAUCUUGUA
Molecule: long non-coding RNA, 458 nt
Organism: Lolium rigidum
Lineage: Eukaryota; Viridiplantae; Streptophyta; Magnoliopsida; Poales; Poaceae
Exons: 2
Source: RefSeq, a predicted model, not a curated record